Molecule: ribosomal RNA, 468 nt
Filed under: uncultured bacterium
Lineage: Bacteria
Description: partial 16S ribosomal RNA
Rfam family: Bacterial small subunit ribosomal RNA
Source: RNAcentral
GACGAACGCUGGCGGCGUGCUUAACACAUGCAAGUCGAACGGAAAGGCCCUGCUUUUGUGGGGUGCUCGAGUGGCGAACGGGUGAGUAACACGUGAGUAACCUGCCCUUGACUUUGGGAUAACUUCAGGAAACUGGGGUUAAUACCGGACAGGAGCUCCUGCUGCAUGGUGGGGGUUGGAAAGUUUGGGCGGUUGGGGAUGGACCCCGGGCUUAUCGGCUUGUUGGUGGGGUUGUGCCUUACCCAGGCUUUGACGGGUAGCCGGCCUGGGGGGGGGACCGGCCAACUUGGGACGGGAUAAGGAGCAGAAUCCCUAGUGGGGGAGGAGGGGCUGAAAUUGUACAAAGGGGGGGAAGCCGAUGGCAGAAACGCCGGGGUGGGGAGGACGGCCUUCGGGUGUAAAACCCUUUUAGCCGGGGAGGAAGUUGUGGUGACGGUAAUUGGAAAAGAAGCACCGGCUAACUACGUG